GCCCAAGCAGGGACCCUGCUCCCCAUUGUUCUACCCCAAUGCUCAAAAUGUAACGCCAUGCUGGCGUGAGUUGUGCUACUCCAUUGCGUAUGGGAAUGACUAGCAGAAACAGAGCAGCCUCCCCGCCAGCCAGAUCAAACCGAGCGAUCGUUGCUCAACCCUUGGGCAAUAAGCACACCUUCCUGUUGUGGGACCAGAGAAGUGAGCAUUGCUGUGUACCGCGUGCGCCAUCUGACACCCUUGUACUUCAGUCACCUUUGAGAGAUGGCCAUCUCAGCCCCAUGGCUGCCAUUUAAAUAAACCUUUCUGCCUCUGGAGAAACCUACAUGGGUUCCUCACCCAGUUCUUCUACAUCACUGUCUUAGACCAACGAACCUCUGCAUCAACCUCAGCAUCUUGGAUAGAGCAUUUUUUGCUUACACACACAUCUGAAGUCAGGCCUUGCUUUGGGAAGCAUGUGACCAUAUGACUCAAGCCAUAGCCCUCCAGGUAGGAAGCCCGGAGAAGCAUAGCCACAACAUACAAGGAGACUUGCAACCAGACCUGAACCAACUCCUGGGAGGGCUCAUCAAUUUUUCAGCACAGAAGCAAGGCCCAGCAAGCAACUGCAACCCAGCAGUUAUCCCGAGUAGGUCAAGCAACCGUUCUUUUCUCCUGGUUUUCUGCUGCUUCAGAGACUAGGACAUGGAGCAAUGGAUUCAGAUGACCGGAACCAAGAUUCCAUCUUAACAUCAGGAAGAAUGUCCUGGCAGUAAGAGCUGUUUGACAGUUGAAUGUGCUGCCUCAGAGUGUGGUGGAGACUCAUUCUUUGGAGGUUUUUAAACAUAGGAGUGCUUUGAUUGUGUAUUCCUACAUGGCAGGGGGUCAGACUGGAUGGCCCUUGUGGUUUCUUCCAACUCUAUGAUUCUAGGUAUGAGCAGCUGCCAACAAAUUCACCUUGAACCAUUAGAAACCAGAUCAAGUGUGAAGCUGCUAGGAGGGGAGGGCAACAGGCAGGAGAGGAAAUGCUGCAUGAGAGCCCACAAGGGCUAUUUCUGGCCUACAAGAAAGAGUCACCUGAACCUUAGCAGGGUUAUACCUAAUCCCAGGUGAAGAGUUCUCCACACUGGAAAAGAAUAGGAAAGGAAAGGCCUAAGAGAUGGAAUAUGGAUGUGGACUUUAACAUACUAAGACUGCAACAUGAAAUAAAUGGGUUGCUGCUUA
Molecule: long non-coding RNA, 1203 nt
Organism: Sceloporus undulatus (fence lizard)
Lineage: Eukaryota; Metazoa; Chordata; Lepidosauria; Squamata; Phrynosomatidae
Exons: 3
Source: RefSeq, a predicted model, not a curated record